Lycium ferocissimum is the source of this 548-nucleotide long non-coding RNA. RefSeq lists it as uncharacterized. NCBI's taxonomy places the organism in Eukaryota, Viridiplantae, Streptophyta, Magnoliopsida, Solanales, Solanaceae. The record is from RefSeq and is a predicted model, not a curated record. The transcript has 2 exons.
UAUCCCUUUUUCAACCUUAAUUGAUUAAUGGACCAGUUAAAAGCACUUUUCAGGUUAAUCACUAAAAAAAGGGUAAUGAAUAGUCCAAAAAGAGCAUAUGUGUAAUGUAUGUACAAACAAAUAGUAGUAGUGGUUGAUGCCGCUUAUAUUUCUUUACAAAAAUGUGUGUCUCUCUCUUCAGAUUUAAAACUUCCGGCUUAAGCCACUCUCUCUCACACUUUCCUAAAUUUUCUCAUUAAUCUCUUAAAUUUUAAUCUAAUUGAUUAUUAAACCCGUAUUAAUAUUAAUUUCACCCGCUUUCCAAAUUCAGGCGUUUUAAUCAGCUAUGGGCAAGUGAAGCACAGUAAUUCUACAAUUGAUUGGUUGAUGAUCGGGAGGAGAACUACCGAAGGAAAAGGGAAGUUCGUCCGAUUGUUUUGCUGUUAAUAUUUUUCAUUUUUCAAGCGGAGAGGUUAUAGUCCUGCUCGGGAUUGGUAUUUUCUGUGUGCAUAUACUGUAGAGGGAUUGUCUAGUUGGAGACUUAUAUAUUCUUGUUAAAUUUUUUGUUU